UACGUAGGUGGCAAGCGUUGUCCGGAAUUAUUGGGCGUAAAGGGCUCGCAGGCGGUCCCUUAAGUCUGAUGUGAAAUCUUGCGGCUUAACCGCAAGCGGUCAUUGGAAACUGGGGGACUUGAGUACAGAAGAGGAGAGUGGAAUUCCACGUGUAGCGGUGAAAUGCGUAGAGAUGUGGAGGAACACCAGUGGCGAAGGCGGCUCUCUGGUCUGUAACUGACGCUGAGGAGCGAAAGCGUGGGGAGCAAAC
This 250-nucleotide ribosomal RNA is filed under the name uncultured bacterium. RNAcentral's name for it is "partial 16S ribosomal RNA". It matches the Rfam family "Bacterial small subunit ribosomal RNA", at positions 524 to 773 of the family's 1533-position model. The record is from RNAcentral.